Non-coding RNA from Podarcis lilfordi (Lilford's wall lizard), 77 nucleotides. The record is from the annotation of a GenBank genome assembly. NCBI's taxonomy places the organism in Eukaryota, Metazoa, Chordata, Lepidosauria, Squamata, Lacertidae.
GGCUGGAUAGCUCAGCUGGUUAGAGAGUGGUGCUGAUAAUGCCAAGGUUGCAGGUUCAACCCCUGUAUGAACAGCUG